This is a non-coding RNA of Paramuricea clavata, 2329 nucleotides long. The record is from the annotation of a GenBank genome assembly. Lineage: Eukaryota; Metazoa; Cnidaria; Anthozoa; Malacalcyonacea; Plexauridae.
UGGACAAUACAGUCCUUCUUGGUCAGAUAGGCUUCUAGGUUGAUAACAUCACGACGUUUUCGACCGGAGCCAUGGGGGCAUUUCUACAUGAAUGACGUUCACAUUGAGGGAAUCGUCCAGGGUGAAUUGAUCGUUUGACUGAACAACUUUUUCCACAGCGGCCAGGAAGCGUUCAGGAGUUAAACUAUCUCGAGGAAGAAAGGGUAAUGAAAUGGGCCUAUCCAGCUGGGGGGAAUUAAUGACGAAGCGAACCUGAUCUUGGGGAGACAUGCCAUUAGUCAUGCGGUCAAACAGAUUACGGAAAGUACGGUGCAAUGUGGGCAUGACAUUCGAUAUGCCAUGCACGUCCAGGGGAUUAAAUUGGACCGUGUAAUCAAUGCCUACAAAUACAAUACAUUAUUUUAGCUAUCAGAAUUAUUUUGGAACCCAUUGAAAUGUCCUAAAGUAGAAUGACACUUGUCCGCUAAAGUAGAAUGACGAGUGUCCUAAUUCAAAGCAUAUAAUGGUUUCUUACUUAUUUUAUUAGCUAUGUUGGUUUUUUGGGGGGUUUUUUCAGCAUACACUUAUUAUACAAAAAAACCCUCACAUUGCACAAUCUUGGAUUUGCACAACAUAGACGAAAUAAUUAAAACCUGAUUGCGGGUGCAUUAACCUAAUAACGGGUUAAAUUAAUACCUGAUUAUGGGCGUUAUUACCUAAGCAACAUGGCUCGCGUAACUUUGAUCAGAUGUUCAAUCAUGACUUUAGCCUUUAUUAUAAGUUUUAACAUUAAAGGCAUGUUUGAACGCUUGACCUUUACAAGUAAUAUAAAAUAAAUAACAAAAUCGGUAGCUGUUGUGCGAAAUUUCCUCUCAUUCACUUGCUUUACCGAUUUGACGGCGAAGUAUUCUUCGGCUCUAGGCCGUUUAGCAGGGGAUUCUAUGCUUUCCUCAUCAACGGAACGUUUCCCUUCUCCUGUCUGGCAUUCGGCCGGUUCGGUUGGCAUCAGGAUACUGUUGUCUGCCCACUCGCUGGCAAAACGUAGGCGGUGGGAGUCGGACUAGCUUUCGAGCAGACUACGGUUGAUUGAAUCACUCCCCGGUUCGGUUGGCAUCAUAAUACUGUCAUCAGCCCCCUCGCCGGCAAAACGUAGACGCUGGAAGUCGGAACAGCUUUCGAGCAGACUACUAUCGAUUGAAUUACUCCGUGUCUAAAUCGCCAAAGGCUGUCGCAAAACAGCCUAUUUCUCCUCGUCAGUGAGAUCGAACGCUUGCUCGAAUAUAUCCAGAGCAGCUUCGGUCUCGCACUCGUGAAUCAUUUCAUUCAUCUAUAAAAUUAAUAAUAAGAAAGCAUAUAUAUAAACAUAUAAAAAACAAGUAAAAUUUUUGGAAGAAAAAAAAAAAAAAAAAAAAAAAAAGAAGUUUUUACUUACCAAUUGAGACAUGUUUCAAACUUUUUGCUAAAAUCGUCAGAAAAUUGCUAAAAUGAUUGCAAUAUUUGCCAACAGUAGAACGCUGUUACUAGGACUAGAACGGAGUAGAACCAGUUUACGAAUGAAGAAACGCGACGCUGAAAUUCACAUACAAACACACGCAAAGGAGCGUUCCGUCAGAACUUGCCCGCUUUAAUUAAUGACUUUUCGCUUGUCCUUACCAUGUGUGCGAUGCAAAUUUCCACACAUUGCUUUGAGAAAACCGCUAAAAAUUGUAUAGACCGAUACUCUUACCAACUGAACUAACAGCAGAGCUUGUUUUACUUUUUAAUUUUAUUUUAAUUAUUAUUCCUAGUACGAGUGCGAAUAAAAAUCAAAGUUUACGAAUGAAGAGACGCGACGCUGAAAUUCACAUAGAAACAACGCAAACGAGCGUUCCGUCAGAACUUGCCCGCCUUAAUGAGUUUUUCGCUUGUCCUUACCAUGUGUUCCAUGCAAAUUUCCACACAGUUGCUUAGUGAAAAGCGCUAAAAAUUGUGUAGCCCCACACUCUUACCAAGUGAACUAACAGCAGAGCUUGUUUUAUUUAUUUUAUUUUAUUUUAUUUAUUUGUGUUUUUUUUAUUAUUCCUAGUACGAGUGAGAUAUAAAAGUAUGUUGCCAGGAGCAGGGGUCAAACGCGCGAAGUGCAUCGCACAAUAGAUUUUAAGUCUAACACUUGAGGCAAUGAAUAUUUAAAAAAAAAUAAUCUUCGGUCAUCCACGGGGGAAAGUCGGCGACGGGUCGGGAUGACGUCACCUUCGGACGGCAUUCGGAAUGAAUAUAUAAUGUGACGUAGGCAUAAUUAAUGCUUUUUACGUAUGAAUAUAUAAUUAGGGAUGAAGGUCGUGAAGGAGUAAGACACAAUGAAAACAAUGAG